AUUGAACGCUGGCGGCAUGCCUUACACAUGCAAGUCGAACGGCAGCACGGGUGCUUGCACCUGGUGGCGAGUGGCGAACGGGUGAGUAAUACAUCGGAACAUGUCCUGUAGUGGGGGAUAGCCCGGCGAAAGCCGGAUUAAUACCGCAUACGAUCUACGGAUGAAAGCGGGGGACCUUCGGGCCUCGCGCUAUAGGGUUGGCCGAUGGCUGAUUAGCUAGUUGGUGGGGUAAAGGCCUACCAAGGCGACGAUCAGUAGCUGGUCUGAGAGGACGACCAGCACACUGGGACUGAGACACGGCCCAGACUCCUACGGGAGGCAGCAGUGGGGAAUUUUGGACAAUGGGCGAAAGCCUGAUCCAGCAAUGCCGCGUGUGUGAAGAAGGCCUUCGGGUUGUAAAGCACUUUUGUCCGGAAAGAAAUCCUUGGCCCUAAUACGGUCGGGGGAUGACGGUACCGGAAGAAUAAGCACCGGCUAACUACGUG
This 485-nucleotide ribosomal RNA is filed under the name uncultured bacterium. RNAcentral describes it as "partial 16S ribosomal RNA". It matches the Rfam family "Bacterial small subunit ribosomal RNA", at positions 30 to 507 of the family's 1533-position model. The record is from RNAcentral.